RNAcentral lists this ribosomal RNA (470 nucleotides) under Daphnia pulex (common water flea). RNAcentral describes it as "eukaryotic LSU rRNA". The stretch from base 1 to 223 matches the Rfam family "Eukaryotic large subunit ribosomal RNA", at positions 2961 to 3401 of the family's 3401-position model. The record is from RNAcentral. Lineage: Eukaryota; Metazoa; Arthropoda; Branchiopoda; Diplostraca; Daphniidae. RNAcentral also lists the same sequence under 1 other name.
GUUUAGACCGUCGUGAGACAGGUUAGUUUUACCCUACUGACGACCAUAGAAGAAAUGUUAUUGCGAUAGUAAUCCUGCGAAGUACGAGAGGAACCGCAGGUUCGGACAGUUGGUUGGCGCACUUGGUCGAGCGGCCAGUGGUGCGAGGCUACGUCCGGAUGAUUAUACCUGAAGGCCUCUGAAGGUAGAAUCGAUGCUGGAGGAAGGCAAUGAUACGCAGCGUCUUUUGACUCGUUUCGACGUUUUAUCUGGGUGGCUAUAACGAGACCCGUCUCGGUUAGAGAUUAAAACUCGCUCCAUCAGCGAGGGGGUUCCGGCCUUUUCGUUUCGUUUCGGACGAAUGCCUGGUCGGCGCUUCAUUCUCGAGCCGCGGUUUUCAGAGGGGAGGUUCGCUGACGGCUAUGCUGGGUAUCCUCUACGGGAAUGCCAGUCAUGCUCCGGUUCGCCUCUUUCUUUUUACCCGACUAAAG